This 4531-nucleotide long non-coding RNA is filed under the name Lynx pardinus (Iberian lynx). Lineage: Eukaryota; Metazoa; Chordata; Mammalia; Carnivora; Felidae. The record is from RNAcentral.
AUAAACGUUUAAAAAAAAUUAAAGAAAGCAAAUGAACUUUCAGGUUGGAAUAAAUUUGGAUAGGUCAGGAUGGGGGUAGGAUGGGGGUGUGUAGGGCAGAAUCAUCCAUCCUGUCCAACUCUAUCACAGUCAAUGGCAUCUACCUUGAGUUCUUGCCUCACUUUCUGUCCACAUCAAUAUUCUUCCAUCCACAUGCCCCAAAUGGACACACAUUCAACUUGGUUCGAUUCAAUGCGUUGUUCUUUAGGAAUAUUCUUUUGGACUGGGAGAGAUGUGGGGUUCAGGUUAAGUCAUCCAAGGUGGAGGUGGGUGAUGUGGAUAGGAAAGCGUUCUCCCCCAUUAAUGUCUUUCCUGUCUCAUGAACAGUUCAUCAUGUCUGGAUCUUUGACCAUCUCAUGUACAAGAAAACAAACAGAAUUUCUGGUGAGUAUCAGUUUCCCUUUUGCUCACUUAAUGAGUUAACAAGAACAGUUGACUCUGACUCUCUACAGGAGGCCAAACCAAAACAAGAUUUGGAUAUUCCAGUCUAUUUCGUUGACUUGCGACUUUUUCUUCAAUCAUCUGUUAAUUCUUUAGAAAAUGAGACAUACACUUAGCUUUUUUAAGAGAAGAAAUUAUCCAGGGGUGCCUGGGUGGCUUAGUUGGCUAAGCGUCUGACUCUUGACAUCAGCUCAGGUCAUGAUCUCAUGGUUUAUGCAUUCAAACCCUGCGUCAGGCUCUGUGUUGACAGUGCAGAGCCUGCUUGGGAUUCUCUCUCUCUCUCUCUCUCUCUCUCUCCCUCCCUCCCUCCCUCCCCCAUUUGCUUUCUAUCUCUCUCUCAAAAUAAAUAAAAAUUAAAAUUAAAAAAAGAGGAGAAAGUAUCCAACUGUCUGAAUUUUAGCCUAGUAAGAAGCAAAAGAAGGGGGUCUUCACAGAUAGAUCCUUGUUUCAAUGGUUGAAGAGACGCAUUUUGGAAGGCUAAGAUAGAGAGGGGUGCACGUUUGUGUUUGUAUCAGGGAGCUUCUAGUUCAGGGUGGACAUAUUGAAAAUCACUCCUACCAGUGAUAUCAGAACAAACAGAACCCCCAUAAUGUUGGCUCCAUGGGCUUUCAUUUCUGGAGGAUCACUUCUUCCCUUCUCUCCCAUGAUGUAGAGUGGCUUGCCAGAAAACUGCUUCAGUAAAACAGGAAAUUGAAUUCCUCAUGAAGGAUCCCUUACCUUAGCCCGUGGAGCCAGGGUGUGCCUCCACCGUACUGCUGAAGAUGUGUCUGGAAAUACAAAGGGCCCUGAGUAUUUCCAUUAAAGGCUCUAUUCUCUUCCAGAUCGAAGUCAGUAUUGGAGCUAACAUUAUCAGCACACUACUUUCAAGCACUGGGAUAAUUCUUCUCUCCGUGAAUUUAGUUGACAUAGUCUUACUUGAAUGCUGGGAGUUACCGGCGUGUUCGUUGGUUAAAUCUUUUAUAACUGUAAGUACUAAUUUGUUGGAUGGUGUCUUCACACGUGAUGUUUGUUUUCAGUUACCUCAGCCCUCAGUGACUAAAAGCCUAUGAUGAAGUUUCUAAACGUUGAAAAGUGAUAGGAAAACAAAUAAAUAUAAACAUGACAUUUGUUUUAAAAAAAAGUGAAACAACCUGAUUUCAGAAUUGCAGAAUUAUGUGUGUGCAUUUCUGUGUGUCAUUUUAAGAACGCGUAUUCUUAUUACUCCAGAUUUUCUCUGAUGAACAUGGGCUGUUCUAAAAAAAAAUGAUAAAAAGACUGCUCACAGAUCAGUGUGCCCAGAGAGGAGGGACCUGAUCUGGAACAUCGAGGACUGGCCUAUGGAUUUCUGGUAGUGAAAAUGAUACAAAAUUUGGGAGCUGGUCUGAGUCAUUUUAAUGUUAAUUUAAAAGAUCAAUGGAGGGGCGCCUGGGUGGCUCAAUCAGUUGAGCAUCUGACUCUUGAUUUCAGCUCAGGUCAUGAUCCCAGGCUCAUGGGAUCGAGCCCUGCAUCGGGCUCUGCACUGACUGUGGAGCCUGCUUGGGAUUCUCUCUUUCUCUCUCUCUCUCUCUCUUCCUCUGCCUCUCUCCCCAUGCUCUCUCUCUAUCUCUCUAAAAUAAAAAAAUUAAAAAAUAAAUAAAAAAAUAAAAGACCAAUGGAAUGUUAGUAAAUCCAUCCUUUCUGUGAGUAAAGUUGAGUCACAUGAUGUGUGUAUGUGUAUGAAUGUGUGUGUGUGUGAGAGAGAGAGAGAGAGGGAGAGAGAGAGAGAAAAGUCCUGGUGAAUUCAGUGUUUGACCAAUGCGUGUGAAAAAAUGGCUGAAAUAGGAGUAACUAACUCUAGAAUGUUAAGGGAGUUCUUUUGCAGAGCUCUGCCAUUUAGAAUUCCUAGAACUCAUAUUUGUUUCUGUAGGAGUUUAUUUAUGGUUGCUCGCUGAGGCAAGGUUUGUGCCAGAUCCAAUAUUGUGUCUCAAUGGAAUGGGCAUAUCUUAGAUAGGAAGUGCAUUGUCCUCAAAAUAUCCACUAACCCUGGCCCCUUGCCCCCCCAGACAACCAGGAUGAGCACAUUGCAGACUAAAGCUGGUUGGGGAAAUCUUAAUUCUUGCCCUUCUCUUCUGUAGAAUAUUGUGAUCCUUCAAAUGAUACUGACUUGUGUGCAGAUUUUUAUUUCGUUCUCACUCUGUGGGCUCACUUAUACCAUGGAUGGCAAGGAGAUCAGCUGGGUGAGUAGCCUUUUUUAUUGAGAAGGUGAGGAAGCAUUUAAAGCAUCACAAAGAAUCAGAUGUGUUAAUAGUUAACUUCAAUCUCUGGUUGUAUAGAGAAUUGGCAAAAACAACAACAGCAAACACCCCCCAAAAACCCUCUUAAUGGCAAGAUGGGAGAUGGGAGGUUAGAGAACAACAGUUACAUGUUACAUUCACCAGCCACUCCAUUUUCGAAAUAUUCCUUUGUACAGAUACUUCAUUCAUAGUCAGUUUCCCUCAUUCACUCACACAUGUAUUUCUUACUCAUCCAUCUAAAAUAUACUGAACAUGUAUUACAUUUACUGUGUUGGGAGAUGGGGAAACAGUGGCUUUUCCCGUAUCUUUAACAAGUGGAUGUCAUAAUAGAUCGAAUAAAUACUUAAGGAAAAAAGUAGCAGCCAAGUAAGAGAUACAAUAGCUCUAGGAACAAGUAAGUGUGAUUUCGAUAUUAAUUCCAUACCUCAUAAUUUUUCAUGGAAUCCCAUCAGUCAUACACACCCCAACACGUCAAUGUGCUCACACACACAGACGUAUUCAUACGUGUAUAUGUAGUCUCCCACAUCACCACAUGUGCGUUCCUCCAUAUUGAUUCUGCAAAGCCCUCGUAAAUGGUUGGCCUUUGCUACAUGCAAAAUGUCAUACUGAUAUUUCUGUUUCCACGUCCCUAGGACAAAAGUCAGGGGGACAUAUCUCAUUGUGUUCACGGAUAGCAUUUUAUUAUUUUUUAUGGAAUGACUGUCUCUCUUGCUACUACUCAAAUCCCUGUAGAUGCUGGCAUGGACUGUUGGCUACAUAAAUACCUGACAAGAUCACCGAAAAAAAAUGUAUUUUACGGUGGUUCCAGACAUGGCUAGAAUUGCCCUAUCUCUGCCUAGGCUGUUGUGAAAACAUUGGCCGGCCAGGGUGUUUCAGCUUUGGCACUGUAGACAUUUUGGAAUGAAUAAUUACGUGUUGAGGGGUGGGGGGGCGGGUAGGAGGAGGGGGCAUGAUCUGUUUAGCAGCAUCCCUGACCUCUAUCUGCUCAAUGUCAAAAAUUCCUCCCACCCCCAAUUUUGGCAACCAAAAUGUCUUCAGACAUUGCUAAAUAUCCCCUGGAGGGUAAAGGUACCACCAGUUGAGGACCAGUGGGCUAUACAGAGCACUGCAGCAAAAAAAAUAAAAUAUCAAAUAAAAAUCACUGAAAAUCUGGUUGAAGUAAUUGUCGAUGUUGUGAUGUCCUAUUUCUAGGCUUCUGCACUAAGUUGCUUGAUCAGAUCACAUUCUGAAGAUCCUUAUCAAGACUUACUGACUCAACCUGAAACUUACGAAGAUUUAGUGCUUCAAGACAUAGACCAGGUUCACUCUCAUCCAUGAGACACCAUCGAAACAUUUUUUACCACACCAGGGCAUCUUGGAUCCAUGAUGGCAACCAAAGACAGAUCUGAUAGGAAUCUUCUACAAAUCCCCUGCUCCCCAUGUCUUUUAUUAUGCACUUUCACAUACACAGACACAAUUGGCACGGAUAUGUGCUUAAUUUCACAGGUGACCAGCAAAUACUAAUAUUAGCAUUCCGUGGCCUAAUAGACCUCUUUUCAUUGGGAUGGUAUUACCAUUUUUGAGCCAAUUUCAGUUCUUAGGCCUCAGAGAGGAAUUUGUUGUUACCCACUUACUCCUUCCUAGAAACUGUACUUCCCUCUGGGUUGACAGUUUAUUCAAAUGAAAAAUCUUUGUGCAAAUAGUUUGGGUGAGUAGUGGCAUACCAUCUGACACUGGGUCCAAUCUAAGUUUCUUUGACUGUUGAAUGUACUAGGUCUCCCUUGCUUGUGUCAAGGUGAACUUGACAAAAUGUAAUGCGA